ACGGUGGUAGUCCCAAGAGGGAACGCGUAACCAGAGGCAUAGUUGCACGAGGGCGUCACGGCACCAACCACGAUGUCAGUGGCGGUGACGGCCGACCAGGUGACAGCAGCAGUGCCGCUGGCCGAAGCGUACACGGACGCCGGCGAGGGGACCGUAAUGGCCGGCGCAAUGGUGUCAGUGACAGUGAUGGUGAUGGUCUUGCUCGCGCUAUUGCCGCUUUUGUCAGUGGCCGUGCAGGUGGCUACGGUGGUGCCGACGGGGUAGACGCCAGAGGUGGAGGGGGCCGCGGGGGAGUAGGUGGUGACAACGUUGAGGUUCGUGUCCACGUUGUCAGUGGCGGUGCAUGUGAAGGAGAUGCCGUCGGCGCCGCCAAGCGUGUUGCCCUCCUUGGUGAUGGCGUUGGUGCUGGAACUGACCGUUGGGGCUGUGUUAUCUGUGGGACAUGCAGGGUGGGGGGGAUUACACGAAUGCGUUUGCAUGUGCGUAAUUGGUGAUUACUAUGUAGCAGAAGCAAGCAAGUGUUCUUCCAAGGUCGGAGCCGCAACAUGCGAAGCCAGUAGGAUCCAUGCCCCGCCGUGCCCCGCCCUGCCUCACUCCGUUCCCCGCGCCCCGCCCCACUGCCACCCAACCCGACCCGACCCGAUCCAACCCAACCCAAGCAACCCGCCAAGACCCGACCCGACCUACAGCAACCCUUGCCCACCCUACCCUCCCCUCCCCGACCCACGUCUCACCGAGAACGACCACAGCGAAUGUCGCGGUGCCGGUAUUGGUUCCGUCAGACGCGGUGCAGGUGACAGUGGUGCUGCCAAAUGGGAAAGAGUCACCAGAGGCAUAGUCACACGAGGGCGUCACGGCACCAACCACGAUGUCAGUGGCGGUGACGGCCGACCAGGUGACAGCAGCAGUGCCGCUGGCCGAAGCGUACACGGACGCCGGCGAGGGGACCGUAAUGGCCGGCGCAAUGGUGUCAGUGACAGUAAUGGUGAUGGUCUUGCUCGCGCUAUUGCCGCUUUUGUCAGUGGCCGUGCAGGUGGCUACGGUGGUGCCGACGGGGUAGACGCCAGAGGUGGAGGGGGCCGCGGGGGAGUAGGUGGUGACAACGUUGAGGUUCGUGUCCACGUUGUCAGUGGCGGUGCAUGUGAAGGAGAUGCCGUCGGCGCCGCCAAGCGUGUUGCCCUCCUUGGUGAUGGCGUUGGUGCUGGUGCUGACGUCUGGAGCUGUGUUAUCUGUGGGCGGACAUGCAGGGUGGGGGGGAUUACACGAAUGCGUUUGCAUGUGCGUAAUUGAUGAUUACUAUGUAGCAGAAGCAAGCAAGUGUUCUUCCAAGGUCGGAGCCGCAACAUGCGAAGCCAGUAGGAUCCAUGCCCCGCCGUGCCCCGCCCUGCCUCACUCCGUUCCCCGCGCCCCGCCCCACUGCCACCCAACCCGACCCGACCCGAUCCAACCCGACUCAACCCCACCCAACCCAACCCAAGCAACCCGCCAAGACCCGACCCGACCUACAGCAACCCUUGCCCACCCUACCCUCCCCUCCCCGACCCACGUCUCACCGAGAACGACCACAGCGAAUGUCGCGGUGCCGGUAUUGGUUCCGUCAGACGCGGUGCAGGUGACAGUGGUGCUGCCAAAUGGGAAAGAGUCACCAGAGGCAUAGUCACACGAGGGCGUCACGGCACCAACCACGAUGUCAGUGGCGGUGACGGCCGACCAGGUGACAGCAGCAGUGCCGCUGGCCGAAGCGUACACGGACGCCGGCGAGGGGACCGUAAUGGCCGGCGCAAUGGUGUCAGUGACAGUAAUGGUGAUGGUCUUGCUCGCGCUAUUGCCGCUUUUGUCAGUGGCCGUGCAGGUGGCUACGGUGGUGCCGACGGGGUAGACGCCAGAGGUGGAGGGGGCCGCGGGGGAGUAGGUGGUGACAACGUUGAGGUUCGUGUCCACGUUGUCAGUGGCGGUGCAUGUGAAGGAGAUGCCGUCGGCGCCGCCAAGCGUGUUGCCCUCCUUGGUGAUGGCGUUGGUGCUGGUGCUGACGUCUGGAGCUGUGUUAUCUGUGGGCGGACAUGCAGGGUGGGGGGGAUUACACGAAUGCGUUUGCAUGUGCGUAAUUGAUGAUUACUAUGUAGCAGAAGCAAGCAAGUGUUCUUCCAAGGUCGGAGCCGCAACAUGCGAAGCCAGUAGGAUCCAUGCCCCGCCGUGCCCCGCCCUGCCUCACUCCGUUCCCCGCGCCCCGCCCCACUGCCACCCAACCCGACCCGACCCGAUCCAACCCGACUCAACCCCUCCCAACCCAACCCAAGCAACCCGCCAAGACCCGACCCGACCUACAGCAACCCUUGCCCACCCUACCCUCCCCUCCCCGACCCACGUCUCACCGAGAACGACCACAGCGAAUGUCGCGGUGCCGGUAUUGGUUCCGUCAGACGCGGUGCAGGUGACAGUGGUGCUGCCAAAUGGGAAAGAGUCACCAGAGGCAUAGUCACACGAGGGCGUCACGGCACCAACCACGAUGUCAGUGGCGGUGACGGCCGACCAGGUGACAGCAGCAGUGCCGCUGGCCGAAGCGUACACGGACGCCGGCGAGGGGACCGUAAUGGCCGGCGCAAUGGUGUCAGUGACAGUAAUGGUGAUGGUCUUGCUCGCGCUAUUGCCGCUUUUGUCAGUGGCCGUGCAGGUGGCUACGGUGGUGCCGACGGGGUAGACGCCAGAGGUGGAGGGGGCCGCGGGGGAGUAGGUGGUGACAACGUUGAGGUUCGUGUCCACGUUGUCAGUGGCGGUGCAUGUGAAGGAGAUGCCAUCGGCGCCGCCAAGCGUGUUGCCCUCCUUGGUGAUGGCGUUGGUGCUGGUGCUGACGUCUGGAGCUGUGUUAUCUGUGGGCGGACAUGCAGGGUGCGGGGGGCGUGAUGACAAGAAUGCGUGUGCAUGGUCUGUGUUUGUAUUAACGGAAGCUAGCGGAACCUUCGUUCCAUGCAAAGCUGCAGCACACCAAGUCUGCCUGCUGGGUCUAUCUCUCUAAUCUAGCCCCGCCCCGUCGCCAUCUAUGCGCCGCGCCUAGCCAUGCCUGUGCCAUCCACUUUACUACUGCUGCGUGCAUUGACCCAUAUGAACCAUCCAUAGAAGACCUAACCUACAAUCCCUGAGGCUCUGCCUAAUUUACGGCUUACCCAGGACGGUCACAGUGAACGUCUUUGUGGCGACGUUUGGCGUGGGUUGCGCGCCAUCAGACGCGGUGCAGGUGACCGUGGUGCUGCCAGAUGGGAAAGAGUCACCAGAGGCAUGGUUGCAUGCGGGCGUCACGGCACCAACCACGAUGUCAGUGGCGGUGACGGCCGACCAGGUGACGGCAGCAGUGCCGCUGGCCGAAGCGUACACGGACGCCGGCGAGGGGACCGUGAUGGCCGGCGCAAUGGUGUCAGUGACAACAAUGGUGAUGGUCUUGCUCGCACUGUUGCCGCUUUUGUCAGUGGCCGUGCAGGUGGCUACGGUGGUGCCGACGGGGUAGACGCCAGAGGUGGAGGGGGCCGCGGGGGAGUAGGUGGUGACAACGUUGAGGUUCGUGUCCACGUUGUCAGUGGCGGUGCAUGUGAAGGAGAUGCCGUCGGCGCCGCCAAGCGUGUUGCCCUCCUUGGUGAUGGCGUUGGUGCUGGUGCUGACGGUUGGGGCAGUG
This 3664-nucleotide long non-coding RNA is filed under the name Chlamydomonas reinhardtii. RNAcentral's name for it is "long non-coding RNA (CREI_LNC000386)". The record is from RNAcentral. Lineage: Eukaryota; Viridiplantae; Chlorophyta; Chlorophyceae; Chlamydomonadales; Chlamydomonadaceae.